AACGAACGCUGGCGGCAUGCCUAACACAUGCAGGUCGAACGAUUGCCUUCGGGUGUUGUUGGCCCACGGGUGCGUAACGCGGGGGAAUCUGCCCUUAGUUUCGGAAUAACACCUGGAACCGGCUCCUAAUACCGGAUGAUAUCGCAGGAUCAAAGAUUUAUCGCCUGAGGAUGAGCCCGCGUUGGAUUAGGUAGUUGGUGGGGUAAAGGCCUACCAAGCCGACGAUCCAUAGCUGGUCUGAGAGGAUGAUCAGCCACACUGGGACUGAGACACGGCCCAGACUCCUACGGGAGGCAGCAGUGGGGAAUAUUGGACAAUGGGCGCAAGCCUGAUCCAGCAAUGCUGCGUGAGUGAUGAAGGCCCUAGGGUUGUAAAGCUCUUUUACCCGGGAAGAUAAUGACUGUACCGGGAGAAUAAGCCCCGGCUAACUCCGUG
RNAcentral lists this ribosomal RNA (435 nucleotides) under uncultured bacterium. Its description in RNAcentral is "partial 16S ribosomal RNA". It matches the Rfam family "Bacterial small subunit ribosomal RNA", at positions 29 to 507 of the family's 1533-position model. The record is from RNAcentral.